Molecule: long non-coding RNA, 833 nt
Filed under: Homo sapiens (human)
Lineage: Eukaryota; Metazoa; Chordata; Mammalia; Primates; Hominidae
Description: HSALNT0351270
Source: RNAcentral
CCAUUAUCAUCCCCGAUAUGGAGGCGGGGAACCCAAAACACCAAGAGCAGUGGGUGCUUAGGAAGCCACAGAGCUGGGAGUAGAGCCCCAGCAGCCUGAUCCAGAGCCCCUGUUCUUCACCACCACCCUGCCCUCCUCCAGGGAGCACAAUGGGGGUCCCGGAGCCUCUUUCCAUCUGUUGGAUCUCGGUGAGAGGGUCUCACUCUGUCACCCAGGCUGGAGCUCUGUGGCACGAUUGCACUGCAGCCUCAGAUUCCCAGGCUCAAGCAAUCCUCCUGCCUCAGCCUCCCAAGUAGCUGGGACUACAGAUCUUACAUUUGGAAAGAAGUCAAGGUAUAGUCUAACCCCAGAAGAUCAAAAUAUAUUGAACUUUUUUUGUAAAGAUGAUAACAGCCAAGAAAACAAAAAUUGAAGUGAACACGAUGAUGAAGAGAGUAAAGAAAGAUAAAGACAAGGCUGAAGGUGGCAUUCAUAAAAGUCCCAGCGCUGAAGGGAGAGGCUGUGCUUGAAGAAGAAAAAGUCUGCUAGCCACGGUAAGACAAAUUAAGACGGGUUGGUGAGGAUACUCUGAGGCAAAGAAAAUUCAACGUUAUCAAAAACCCAUGCUCAAGUUAGGAGAGACUGCAGUAAAGAGAAACUUCCCUCUUGCUUCCAUGGUUAAAGGGUGACUUAGAGUUCCUGCACUGUUUCAUUAAUAUACAAGUCGAGUGUUGCUAAUACCAGUGGGGAUGACAGACAGUUUUACUUUGUGAAUUUCUGGUUUCUAAUGAUGCAUUUGAGCUUUAUUUUUUACAGCUGUCCUUGUCUUAAUCCUUUACUUUUUUCUCCCUGGG